This 67-nucleotide transfer RNA is filed under the name Marmota monax (woodchuck). RNAcentral describes it as "tRNA.Ala". It matches the Rfam family "tRNA". Rfam says of the family: Transfer RNA (tRNA) molecules are approximately 80 nucleotides in length. Their secondary structure includes four short double-helical elements and three loops (D, anti-codon, and T loops). Lineage: Eukaryota; Metazoa; Chordata; Mammalia; Rodentia; Sciuridae. The record is from RNAcentral.
GGUUGUAGCUCAGUGGUUGAGCACUUGCCUCGCAUGCAUGAGGCCCUGGGUUCAAUCUGCAGCACCA